AGUGAACGCUGGCGGUAGGCCUAACACAUGCAAGUCGAACGGCAGCACAGUACGGUCUUGCUCUUCCGGGGGGGGGAGGGGGGACGGGACAGGAAAAUACCGUACCCUACUUUUUGGGAGGGGUUCAGGAAGCGAAGCUUAAUCUAGUACCGCAUCCGCUGUAGGGUGGAAGGCAUGGGAUCUUUGCCCCUUGUGCGUUUGAAUUAGCGGCUGUGGAGUUAGCUAGUUGGGGGGUUAAUGGCCCACCAGGGCGACGAUCCGUAGCUGGUCUGAGAGGAUGAUCGGCCACACUGGAACUGAGACACGGUCCAGACUCCUACGGGAGGCAGCAGAGGGGAAUAUUAGACAGUGGGCGGAAGCCUGAUCCAGCCAUACCGCGUGGGUGAAGAAGGCCUUGGGGUUGUAAAGCCCUUUUGUUGGGAAAGAAAAGCAGCAGGUUAAUACGCCGCUGGUCUGACGGUACCCAAAGAAUAAGCACCGGCUAACUUCGUG
Molecule: ribosomal RNA, 492 nt
Filed under: uncultured bacterium
Lineage: Bacteria
Description: partial 16S ribosomal RNA
Rfam family: Bacterial small subunit ribosomal RNA
Source: RNAcentral